Non-coding RNA from Triticum aestivum (bread wheat), 135 nucleotides. NCBI's taxonomy places the organism in Eukaryota, Viridiplantae, Streptophyta, Magnoliopsida, Poales, Poaceae. The record is from Rfam.
UUAGUACUCCCUCCGUCCCAAAAUUCUUGUGUUAGAUUUGUCUAGAUACGGAUGUAUCUAAUACUAAAACGUGACUUGAUACAUCCGUAUUUAGACAAAUCUAAGACAAGAAUUUUGGGACGGAGGGAGUAAUUG